CAUUGCCUACGGGGGGCAGCAGUGGGGAAUAUUGCACAAUGGGCGCAAGCCUGAUGCAGCCAUGCCGCGUGUAUGAAGAAGGCCUUCGGGUUGUAAAGUACUUUCAGCGGGGAGGAAGGGAGUAAAGUUAAUACCUUUGCUCAUUGCCGUUACCCGCCGCAGAAGCACCGGCUAACUCCGUGCCAGCCGCCGCGGUAAUACGGAGGGUGCAAGCGUUAAUCGGAAUUACUGGGCGUCAAGCGCACGCAGGCGGUUUGUU
Molecule: ribosomal RNA, 259 nt
Filed under: uncultured bacterium
Lineage: Bacteria
Description: partial 16S ribosomal RNA
Rfam family: Bacterial small subunit ribosomal RNA
Source: RNAcentral